Molecule: ribosomal RNA, 403 nt
Filed under: uncultured bacterium
Lineage: Bacteria
Description: partial 16S ribosomal RNA
Rfam family: Bacterial small subunit ribosomal RNA
Source: RNAcentral
AUUGAACGCUGGCGGCAGGCCUAACACAUGCAAGUCGAGCGAGCGGCGGACGGGUGAGUAAUGUAUGGGGACUGCCCGAUAGAGGGGGAUAAGUACUGGAAACGGGGGCUAAUACCGCAUACUAUCGGAUAACCCAUAUGGGAUUAGCUAGUUGGUGGGGUAAAGGCUCACGUAGGCGACGAUCCCUAGCUGGUCUGAGAGGAUGUUCGGCCACACUGGGCCUGAGAAACGGCCCAGACUCCUACGGAGGCAGCAGUGGGAAAUAUUGCACAAUGGGCGCAAGCCGGAUGCAGCCAUGCCGCGUGUAUGAAGAAGGCCUUAGGGUUGUAAAGUACUUUCAGCGGGGAGGCGUUACCCGCCGAAGAAGCACCGGCUAACUCCGUGCCAGCAGCCGCGGUAAUUC